CAAGGAAUAGUUUAAGGUUAGAAUAUCAGCUUUGGGUGUUGAUGGUGGGGCGGAUGCUUCUUCCUUGA
Molecule: transfer RNA, 68 nt
Filed under: Neomys fodiens (Eurasian water shrew)
Lineage: Eukaryota; Metazoa; Chordata; Mammalia; Eulipotyphla; Soricidae
Description: tRNA-Pro
Rfam family: tRNA
About the family: Transfer RNA (tRNA) molecules are approximately 80 nucleotides in length.
Source: RNAcentral